This 280-nucleotide long non-coding RNA is filed under the name Phoenix dactylifera (date palm). RNAcentral describes it as "long non-coding RNA (PDAC_LNC016157)". Lineage: Eukaryota; Viridiplantae; Streptophyta; Magnoliopsida; Arecales; Arecaceae. The record is from RNAcentral.
UCCAAGCACGACUGGUAUAAGGCUUCGCCGUUUGAGAACCCCUUCUUUCACCUUGGUGAAAGGAGGCAAAGUAAGGCUUCGCCGUUUGAGAACCCCUUCUCCAGUGUUUCGGGAAGCUGUUCCACCGGUUGAGUGAGAGUCGAGGUGGGGAAGAUCGGUUAUUCCUUCAUCCCAGAAUGCAUCUAAGAUUGUCUUCUUGGAGGAAGGUUGGUUUGCCCAGGUGACUGAUCCUGCCAUAAUGUACUCCUACCUAUUCUAUUGCACCGGCAACCGAAGUCGA